AUUGAACGCUGGCGGCAUGCCUUACACAUGCAAGUCGAACGGUAACAGGUUAAGCUGACGAGUGGCGAACGGGUGAGUAAUGUAUCGGAACGUGCCCAGUCGUGGGGGAUAACUGCUCGAAAGAGCAGCUAAUACCGCAUACGACCUGAGGGUGAAAGCGGGGGAUCGCAAUACCUCGCGCGAUUGGAGCGGCCGAUAUCAGAUUAGGUAGUUGGUGAGGUAAAGGCUCACCAAGCCGACGAUCUGUAGCUGGUCUGAGAGGACGACCAGCCACACUGGGACUGAGACACGGCCCAGACUCCUACGGGAGGCAGCAGUGGGGAAUUUUGGACAAUGGGCGCAAGCCUGAUCCAGCCAUGCCGCGUGCGGGAAGAAGGCCUUCGGGUUGUAAACCGCUUUUGUCAGGGAAGAAAAGGUUCUGGCUAAUACCUGGGACUCAUGACGGUACCUGAAGAAUAAGCACCGGCUAACUACGUG
This 477-nucleotide ribosomal RNA is filed under the name uncultured bacterium. RNAcentral describes it as "partial 16S ribosomal RNA". It matches the Rfam family "Bacterial small subunit ribosomal RNA", at positions 30 to 507 of the family's 1533-position model. The record is from RNAcentral.